UACAGAGGUCUCAAGCGUUGUUCGGAUUCAUUGGGCGUAAAGGGUGCGUAGGCGGCGCGGUAAGUCGGGUGUGAAAUUUCGAGGCUUAACUUCGAAACUGCAUUCGAUACUGCCGUGCUUGAGGACUGGAGAGGAGACUGGAAUUUACGGUGUAGCGGUGAAAUGCGUAGAUAUCUGGAGGAACACCGGUGGCGAAGGCGGCAUCCUGGACCGACACUGACGCUGAGGAGCGAAAGCCAGGGGAGCAAACGGG
This 253-nucleotide ribosomal RNA is filed under the name uncultured bacterium. RNAcentral describes it as "partial 16S ribosomal RNA". It matches the Rfam family "Bacterial small subunit ribosomal RNA", at positions 524 to 776 of the family's 1533-position model. The record is from RNAcentral.